This 497-nucleotide ribosomal RNA is filed under the name uncultured bacterium. RNAcentral's name for it is "partial 16S ribosomal RNA". It matches the Rfam family "Bacterial small subunit ribosomal RNA", at positions 28 to 507 of the family's 1533-position model. The record is from RNAcentral.
GAUGAACGCUGGCGGCGUGCCUAAUACAUGCAAGUCGAGCGAACAGAUAAGGAUCUUGCUCCUUUGACGUUAGCGGCGGACGGGUGAGUUACACGUGGAUAACCUACCUAUAAGACUGGGAUAACUUCGAGAAACCGGAGCUAAUACCGGAUAACAUAUUGAACCGCAUGGUUCAAUAGUGAAUGGCGGCUUUGCUGUCACUUAUAGAUGGAUCCGCGCCGUAUUAGCUAGUUGGUAAGGUAACGGCUUACCAAGGCAACGAUACGUAGCCGACCUGAGAGGGUGAUCGGCCACACUGGAACUGAGACACGGUCCAGACUCCUACGGGAGGACGCAGUAGGGAAUCUUCCGAAAUGGGCGAAAGCCUGACGGAGCAACGCCGCGUGAGUGAUGAAGGUCUUCGGAUCGUAAAACUCUGUUAUCAGGGAAGAACAAAUGUGUAAGUAACUGUGCACAUCUUGACGGUACCUGAUCAGAAAGCCACGGCUAACUACGUG